RNAcentral lists this ribosomal RNA (484 nucleotides) under uncultured bacterium. RNAcentral describes it as "partial 16S ribosomal RNA". It matches the Rfam family "Bacterial small subunit ribosomal RNA", at positions 30 to 507 of the family's 1533-position model. The record is from RNAcentral.
AUUGAACGCUGGCGGCAUGCCUAACACAUGCAAGUCGAGCGGAUGAAGGGAGAUUGUUCCUGGCUUCCGCGGCGGACGGGCGAGUAAGUCCCAGGAAUCUGCCUUGCAUAGGGGGCUAACGUCAGGAAACGGGCGCUAAUGCCGCAUCCGUCCUGAGGGAGAACGGGGGGGAUCUUUGGAGCUCGCGGGAUCUGCUGAGCCUGGGACGGAUUAGCUAGUUGGUGGGGUAAGGGCGUACCAAGGCGACGAUCCGUAACUGGUCUGAGAGGGUGAUCAGCCACACUGGAACUGAGACACGGUCCAGACUCCUACGGGAGGCAGCAGUGGGGAAUAUUCGACAAUGGGCGAAAGCCUGAUCGAGCCAUGCCGCGUGAGUGAUGAAGGUCUUCGGAUCGUAAAGCUCUUUUAGUUGGGAAGAACAACUGUAUGAUUAACCCUUGCUGUCUUGACGGUACCUACUGAGAAAGCCACGGCUAACUACGUG